AGAGUUUGAUCAUGGCUCAGGAUGAACGCUAGCGGCAGGCUUAACACAUGCAAGUCGAGGGGUAACAGGGUGCUUGCACCGCUGACGACCGGCGCACGGGUGCGUAACGCGUAUACAAUCUACCUUAUAGAGGGGGAUAGCCCAGAGAAAUUUGGAUUAAUACCCCAUAGUACUUAGAGACAGCAUUGCUUUUAGGUUAAACAUUUAUGGCUAUAAGAUGAGUAUGCGUCCUAUUAGUUAGUUGGUAAGGUAACGGCUUACCAAGACCGCGAUAGGUAGGGGUCCUGAGAGGGAGAUCCCCCACACUGGUACUGAGACACGGACCAGACUCCUACGGGAGGCAGCAGUGAGGAAUAUUGGACAAUGGGCGAGAGCCUGAUCCAGCCAUGCCGCGUGCAGGAAGACGGCCCUAUGGGUUGUAAACUGCUUUUAUACGGGAAGAAACACCUCUUCGUGAAGAGGCUUGACGGUACCGUAAGAAUAAGGAUCGGCUAACUCCGUGCCAGCAGCCGCGGUAAUACGGAGGAUCCAAGCGUUAUCCGGAAUCAUUGGGUUUAAAGGGUCCGUAGGCGGGACAAUAAGUCAGCGGUGAAAGUCUGUGGCUCAACCAUAGAAUUGCCAUUGAUACUGUUGUUCUUGAGUGUUUAUGAAGUGGUUAGAAUAUGUAGUGUAGCGGUGAAAUGCUUAGAUAUUACAUGGAAUACCGAUUGCGAAGGCAGAUCACUAAUAAAAUACUGACGCUGAUGGACGAAAGCGU
Molecule: ribosomal RNA, 757 nt
Filed under: uncultured bacterium
Lineage: Bacteria
Description: bacterial SSU rRNA
Rfam family: Bacterial small subunit ribosomal RNA
Source: RNAcentral